UUUCACUUCCAACUUGCCUCCCCGGCCUGAGAGGGUGACCGGCCACACUGGGACUGAGACACGGCCCAGACUCCUACGGGAGGCAGCAGUGGGGAAUAUUGCACAAUGGGCGCAAGCCUGAUGCAGCGACGCCGCGUGAGGGAUGACGGCCUUCGGGUUGUAAACCUCUGUUAGCAGGGAAGAAGAGAAAUUGACGGUACCUGCAGAGAAAGCCACGGCUAACUACGUGCCAGCAGCCGCGGUAAAACGUAGGUGGCAAGCGUUGUCCGGAAUUACUGGGUGUAAAGGGAGCGCAGGCGGGGAGGCAAGUUGGAAGUGAAA
This 321-nucleotide ribosomal RNA is filed under the name uncultured bacterium. RNAcentral describes it as "bacterial SSU rRNA". It matches the Rfam family "Bacterial small subunit ribosomal RNA", at positions 266 to 599 of the family's 1533-position model. The record is from RNAcentral.